Molecule: long non-coding RNA, 1068 nt
Organism: Gallus gallus (chicken)
Lineage: Eukaryota; Metazoa; Chordata; Aves; Galliformes; Phasianidae
Exons: 6
Source: RefSeq, a predicted model, not a curated record
GGACAGAACGAAAGGAGGCAAGAGAAGAAGAAAUGGUGCUCAUUUUUAAGACCAGUACAUCAAGAGUGGGACAGUAUCCAUUCAACUACAGACUUGCCUGAAGCGUGGCUCUCUGCUUUCUCCUCCUUGUCUGGUUGUUGCUCAAGGGAAGACCACGGUUUGGGAUAAUCUCUACUCUCCAACAAACACAUCGCACAUGGGAAUGAUGUCUCUGAGCUUGUGCCUCUGCAAGGCCACACGCUUUAUGGCGCUGAGUCCAAGAGAAGACUUCCAAGUGAUUGUCAGGUUUGUAGAUCCUGCUGCUGCAACUGCUUAGGGCAACGUGCAUCACUUCUCUGUUGGAGCAGUGACACGAAGUCAGCACUGUGUUCAGGGCUGUUUGCUGACUGAGCUCCAAAACCACAGAUUUUCUGCACUUAGUGCUUGGGAGACGUGAGCAGGGGGCUGGAGAAGGAAAAGAAAGCGUUUGUAGUGAUUGGCUGGGGAGCUUGGAGACCUGAAUCAAGACCUGAAGCUGUCAACUUGCUGAAGUAGUGUCUACACAAAGCUGGACUGCAUCAACAGUUCCCCAUUAUCAGCCGCUCUGUGGUUGCAGUGAGACUUGCUGAUGUUCCAACCAGACAAAUACCCUGCUUGGAGGAAAUCCAUUGCUAACGUGAUGGGAGUUGCAAUGUGUGGACAUUAAUUACCUGGCUGCGUGCCCUCCUAACGAACCCUGAUGUUUGCCACCAAAGGAGCUGAGUGUGCCAGUACGGUGCUCACUUGGGCAAGCACCCCAGCAGCUGCAGGACCAAGGCAGAUGUCACAGCUCAGAAGCAAAGCUCGGAACUUGGCCCCUGCCAGCGCCUUGUUGGGUAGCAAUAUUGCUGAUUUCCCUCCUGAAAACUGAGGCUGAUGCUCCUACCUUUCCCCCUCUCCCAUGGCCAUAUUGGCUGUGAUGGGGGGCAAAGCUACCUAGCAGGAGGGAGGGACCUGGGUGAGUAGGUUCUCCAUGGUGGGAUUUACCCUCCCUGGAGGCGCAGUAAGAAGUGGUGGGCUGCAGCUUCCUUCUCUCAGCCCUACUAAGCU